AGGGGAAUCGCCAAGCUGGUUACGGCACCGGAUUCUGAUUCCGGCAUUCGAAGGUUCGAAUCCUUCUUCCCCUGCCA
This 77-nucleotide transfer RNA is filed under the name Burkholderiaceae bacterium. Its description in RNAcentral is "tRNA-Gln". It matches the Rfam family "tRNA". From Rfam's summary of the family: Transfer RNA (tRNA) molecules are approximately 80 nucleotides in length. Their secondary structure includes four short double-helical elements and three loops (D, anti-codon, and T loops). Further hydrogen bonds mediate the characteristic L-shaped molecular structure. tRNAs have two regions of fundamental functional importance: the anti-codon, which is responsible for specific mRNA codon recognition, and the 3' end, to which the tRNAs corresponding amino acid is attached (by aminoacyl-tRNA synthetases). tRNAs cope with the degeneracy of the genetic code in two manners: having more than one tRNA (with a specific anti-codon) for a particular amino acid; and 'wobble' base-pairing, i.e. permitting non-standard base-pairing at the 3rd anti-codon position. The record is from RNAcentral. Lineage: Bacteria; Pseudomonadati; Pseudomonadota; Betaproteobacteria; Burkholderiales; Burkholderiaceae.